Molecule: ribosomal RNA, 2051 nt
Filed under: Chorisoserrata biceps
Lineage: Eukaryota; Metazoa; Arthropoda; Insecta; Blattodea; Pseudophyllodromiidae
Description: SSU rRNA
Rfam family: Eukaryotic small subunit ribosomal RNA
Source: RNAcentral
GAUCCCUGGUUGAUCCUGCCAGUAGUCAUAUGCUUGUCUCAAAGAUUAAGCCAUGCACGUCUCAGUGCAAGCCGUCUCCACGCGGCGAGACCGCAGAUGGCUCAUUAAAUCAGUUAUGGUUCCUUGGACGAAGGAAGCUUACUUGGACAACUGUGGCAAUUCUAGAGCUAAUACAUGCAACUCAGGCCCCGACCGGUGACGGAAGGGGCGCACUUAUUAGAUCAACAAACCAGCGGGUGCUCCGGUGCCCGACUCGGACUGAUGACUCUGAAUAAACCACGAAGCUGAUCGCAUGGCCUUUGCGCCGGCGACGCGUCUUUCAAAUGUCUGCCUUAUCAACUGUCGAUGUUAGGCUCUGUGCCUACCAUGGUCUUAACGGGUGACGGGGAAUCAGGGUUCGAUUCCGGAGAGGGAGCCUGAGAAACGGCUACCACAUCCAAGGAAGGCAGCAGGCGCGCAAAUUACCCACUCCCGGCACGGGGAGGUAGUGACGAAAAAUAACGAUACGGGACUCAUCCGAGGCCCCGUAAUCGGAAUGAGAACACUUUAAAUCCUUUACCGAGGACCUAUUGGAGGGCAAGCCUGGUGCCAGCAGCUGCGGUAACUCCAGCUCCAAUAGCGUAUAUUAAAGUUGUUGCGGUUAAAAAGCUCGUAGUUUAGCUUGUGUCCCGCACUGUCGGUUCACCGCCCGCCGGUGUUUUUUAAACUGACAGGUUACGUGGGGACGUCCUGACGGUGGUCCCUCUUCCCCCGGGGAUCGCGCUGCCAUCCGGCCGCUUCAAUUAGGGGCUCGAUUCGCGCGUGUUCCGGCUGGGCUCGUCCCUUUCGGUAGCGGUCGGUGUCUCCGAGAAAGCCCGGUUGGCGGCUUCGGCUCUGGCGGUGCGUUUUUCCUCGGACAGGGAAAGGGCCCGGCGAAUUCGAUUCGACCCCCCGCCUUGGUGCUCUUUGCUGAGUGUCACGACGGGCCGUCACGUUUACUUUGAACAAAUUAGAGUGCUCAACGCAGGCAGCACGUCGCCUGGAUAUCGGUGCAUGGAAUAAUGGAAUAGGACCUCGGUCCCGCUUUGCUGGUUCACGGGACGGCCGAGGUAAUGACCGACAGAGACGGUCGAGGGCACUCGUACUGCGACGUUAGAGGUGAAAUUCUUGGAUCGUCGCAAGACGAACGGAGGCGAAAGCAUUUGCCAAGCAUGCCCUCUCUGAUCAAGAACGAAAGUCAGAGGUUCGAAGGCGAUCAGAUACCGCCCUAGUUCUGACCAUAAACGAUGCCGGCUAGCAAUCCGCCGAAGUUCCUCCGAUGACUCGGCGAGCGGCUUACGGGAAACCAAAGCCUUUGGGUUCCGGGGGAAGUAUGGUUGCAAAGCUGAAACUUAAAGGAAUUGACGGAAGGGCACCACAAGGAGUGGGGCCUGCGGCUUAAUUUGACUCAACACGGGAAAACUCACCAAGCCCGGACACCGGUAGGAUUGACAGAUUGAGAGCUCUUUCUCGAUUCGGUGGGUGGUGGUGCAUGGCCGUUCUUCGUUGGUGGGGCGACUUGUCAGGUUAAUUCCGAUAACGAACGAGACUCGUGCCUGCUAACUAGUCGGCAAAGGUAUCCUGAGCGCUACCUCCGACGAUGAAAUCUUCUUAGAGGGACAAGCGGCGUCUAGUCGCACGAGAUAGAGCAAUAACAGGUCAGUGAUGCCCUUAGAUGUCUUGGGCCGCACGCGCGCCACACUGAAGGAACCAGCGUGUCUUCCCUGGCCGAGAGGCCCGGGUAACCCGCUGAACCUCCUUCGUGAUUGGGACUGGGGCUUGCAAUUCUUCCCCAUGAACGAGGAAUUCCUAGUAAGCGCGGGUCAUGAGCCCGCAUUGAUUAAGUCCCUGCCCUUUGUACACACCGCCCGUCGCUACUACUGAUUGAACGGUUUAGUGAGGCGUUCGGACAGGCGGACGCUGCGUCUUUCGAGCGCAGCGACUCCUGCCUGGAAGAUCUCCGAACUUGACCGUUUAGAAGAAGUAAAAGUCGUAACAAGGUUGUCGUUGGUGAACCAGCGACAGGACCAUUA